CAGGAUGGCAACACUGUCAAAUUGCGGGGAACCCCUAAAGACCUUGACACCAAGCGUCUGCUGGAAACAGCGGCGUGGCCGAGCUAACAGCCCUGGGUAUGGUAAUAGUUCAAGGUAUGAGCCCGAGUGAUUGGGUGAAAUGGGCGAUCUGCAGCCAAGUCCUAAGGCCUCUAGGCUAUGGAUGCUGUUCACAGGCCAAAUGGCAGUGGGUGGGAGUAUCAUCUCCUGCUUAAGAUAUGGUCGGUCCCCUUGUGAAAGCUUGGGGGUAAGUUUACCGGAGUGAGAAAUAAUGAGCAAUUUUACCAGGUGUUCUAUAACUGUAAGAAUAUCUGCGCUUGUUCGUUUGCGGUUCUCAGAAAUUCUGAGUACUUUUACGUUCCGUAGGUGAACCUGCGGAAGGAU
RNAcentral lists this ribosomal RNA (402 nucleotides) under Glutinoglossum peregrinans. RNAcentral's name for it is "partial 18S ribosomal RNA". The stretch from base 1 to 264 matches the Rfam family "Group I catalytic intron", at positions 41 to 253 of the family's 253-position model. From Rfam's summary of the family: Group I catalytic introns are large self-splicing ribozymes. They catalyse their own excision from mRNA, tRNA and rRNA precursors in a wide range of organisms. The core secondary structure consists of 9 paired regions (P1-P9). Lineage: Eukaryota; Fungi; Ascomycota; Geoglossomycetes; Geoglossales; Geoglossaceae. The record is from RNAcentral.